AGGUGCGAUUAUACCAUCACUAUUGCACCGGAUCCCAUCAGAACUCCGCAAUUAAACGUUAUUGGGCGAGAGUAGUACUAGGAUCGGUGGCGUCUUGCGAAGUUCUCUUGUUGCACCUC
Molecule: ribosomal RNA, 119 nt
Filed under: Lupinus angustifolius (narrow-leaved blue lupine)
Lineage: Eukaryota; Viridiplantae; Streptophyta; Magnoliopsida; Fabales; Fabaceae
Source: RNAcentral